Molecule: ribosomal RNA, 466 nt
Filed under: uncultured bacterium
Lineage: Bacteria
Description: bacterial SSU rRNA
Rfam family: Bacterial small subunit ribosomal RNA
Source: RNAcentral
GCCAGACUCCUACGGGAGGCAGCAGUGAGGAAUAUUGGUCAAUGGUCGGGAGACUGAACCAGCCAAGCCGCGUGAGGGAUGAAGGUACAGAGUAUCGUAAACCUCUUUUGUCAGGGAACAAAGGCGGGGACGUGUCCCCGGAUGAGUGUACCUGAAGAAAAAGCAUCGGCUAACUCCGUGCCAGCAGCCGCGGUAAUACGGAGGAUGCGAGCGUUAUCCGGAUUUAUUGGGUGUAAAGGGGGCGGAGGCGGGUGUGUUAGGCCGGCGGGAAAGCCCGGGGCCCACCCCCCCGCCCGCCGUUGAAACUGGCAGUCUCGAGUUGGAGAGAAGUAUGCGGAAUGCGCGGUGUAGCGGUGAAAUGCAUAGAUAUCGCGCAGAACUCCGAUUGCGAAGGCAGCAUGCCGGCUCCACACUGACGCUGAGGCACGAAAGCGUGGGUAUCGAACAGGAUUAGAUACCCCCGUAA